UACGUAGGGGGGCAAGCGUUGUCCGGAUUUAUUGGGCGUAAAGCGCGUGUAGGCGGCCAGAAAAGUCCGCUGUGAAAACUCGAGGCUCAACUUCGAGCUGUCGGUGGAAACUUUCUGGCUAGAGUCCGGAAGAGGAGAAUGGAAUUCCUGGUGUAGCGGUGAAAUGCGCAGAUAUCAGGAAGAACACCCGUGGCGAAGGCGGUUCUCUGGGACGGUACUGACGCUGAGACGCGAAAGCGUGGGGAGCGAACAGG
RNAcentral lists this ribosomal RNA (254 nucleotides) under uncultured bacterium. RNAcentral's name for it is "partial 16S ribosomal RNA". It matches the Rfam family "Bacterial small subunit ribosomal RNA", at positions 524 to 776 of the family's 1533-position model. The record is from RNAcentral.